This 482-nucleotide ribosomal RNA is filed under the name uncultured bacterium. RNAcentral describes it as "bacterial SSU rRNA". It matches the Rfam family "Bacterial small subunit ribosomal RNA", at positions 30 to 506 of the family's 1533-position model. The record is from RNAcentral.
UUGAACGCUGGCGGCAUGCCUUACACAUGCAAGUCGAACGGCAGCACGGGGGCAACCCUGGUGGCGAGUGGCGAACGGGUGAGUAAUACAUCGGAACGUGCCCUGAAGUGGGGGAUAACGUAGCGAAAGUUACGCUAAUACCGCAUAUUCUGUGAGCAGGAAAGCAGGGGAUCGCAAGACCUUGCGCUUUAGGAGCGGCCGAUGUCGGAUUAGCUAGUUGGUGAGGUAAAGGCUCACCAAGGCGACGAUCCGUAGCGGGUCUGAGAGGAUGAUCCGCCACACUGGGACUGAGACACGGCCCAGACUCCUACGGGAGGCAGCAGUGGGGAAUUUUGGACAAUGGGCGCAAGCCUGAUCCAGCCAUGCCGCGUGAGUGAAGAAGGCCUUCGGGUUGUAAAGCUCUUUCGGCGGGGAAGAAAUCGCAUUCUCUAAUACAGGAUGUGGAUGACGGUACCCGAAUAAGAAGCACCGGCUAACUACGU